Molecule: ribosomal RNA, 392 nt
Filed under: uncultured bacterium
Lineage: Bacteria
Description: bacterial SSU rRNA
Rfam family: Bacterial small subunit ribosomal RNA
Source: RNAcentral
AUUGAACGCUGGCGGAAUGCUUUACACAUGCAAGUCGAGCGGCAGCGCGGGGGCAACCCUGGCGGUGAGCGGCGAACGGGUGAGUAACACAUCGGAACGUACCCAGUGGUGGGGGAUAGCCCGGCGAAAGCCGGAUUAAUACCGCAUACGACCUGAGGGGGAAAGUGGGGGACCGCAAGGCCUCACGCCGUUGGAGCGGCCGAUGUUCGAUUAGCUAGUUGGUAGGGUAAAGGCCUACCAAGGCGACGAUCGAUAGCUGGUCUGAGAGGACGACCAGCCACACUGGAACUGAGACACGGUCCAGACUCCUACGGGAGGCAGCAGUGGGGAAUUUUGGACAAUGGGGGCAACCCUGAUCCAGCCAUUCCGCGUGAGUGAAGAAGGCCUCGGUU